Molecule: long non-coding RNA, 467 nt
Organism: Lolium perenne
Lineage: Eukaryota; Viridiplantae; Streptophyta; Magnoliopsida; Poales; Poaceae
Source: RefSeq, a predicted model, not a curated record
AUUGAAGAAGGAACAUCUUCUCCGUGAGCGUGGUCUUGGUCUUGGUGUUGUUUUUGUGCACACCUUGACGAAUACUGAUUUGAAGGGCAAUGGACUGCGUAUACCGAAGGAAGUUGUUAGGUCCUUGAAUAUCUCUGAAAGCGGCGAGGCAUGUUUUUUUGUUGAUGACUAUGGCUACCGCCCUAAGGGUGCAUACUACACUACUACUGAUGGAAGGCUGAAGUUCGAUUCCUGCUGGUCGGAGUUUGCUAAGGAGUAUAACUUUGAAUCUGGGAGUGUUGUUCUCCUUCUUUUCAACCAGGGCGGCCGUGGUGGUAUUGAAGUUUCAGUUGAUAUCAUAUGAUAUAAUCUUUAUCAUAUGAUAUAAUUGUUUUAGUCUACAAUUUGUGUGUGUCCAUUGUGUGUUUAUGUCAUUUUGCUACCCUGGCCGCUUGUUUGACUAUAUAUGUCGCAGUAUCUAUUAUGCA